CGCCGCUGCCUUUUCAGUUUGCCAAGUGGUUCGCACGUACCGCUUCGUUGGUGCGCUCUGGCUCUCUCACCGCUCGUCACCGGCACACGAGUUCACGGGUACAUCUGGAGAGUGGCAACGUACGUGAUGAACCCCCUGUCGACGCGGCGCCUUGGGGGCAUUGCGACCCCCGGCUCGGCACUUUCGGGUACCUGCUACGUGAGCCACACCACAAGGCCAGCCCGCACUAUGUGCUGGAUGAAGCUGGCGGUCUUCACGCAGUUCCCGGUCGUCCCAUCGCUGGCCGGCACGCAGGUGCAGGGCCGCCAGGACUUGCUCGCCUCUACCGCCGGCGCCGGCACCCCCGAGGAAACAAGCUUGUUUCUUCAGAUCGAGCUCUUCGACGACGAGUGCCCGCAGCUCUGCGCGAAUUUCCGCCGCCUCUGCAACGGGCAGUCGACAACGCGGCAGGGACAGGUGUACUGCUACCAAGGCCUCACCCCAAGCUACUGCGGCACGUAUUUCCACAAGAUCAUACCCUCUUACUGCGUCCAGGGGGGUGACAUCACCAUGCGCGUGAAGCCUGGCGGCACGAACAGCUACAGCAGCGCUGGCCGCACUUGGCUUCCGGAUGAGUUCAAGAAACGACGCCAUAACGAAAUCGGGCUCGUUUCCAUGGCGAACAACGGUCCCAACUCGAACGGGUCACAGUUCUUCAUCACCACCUCGGCGGCGCAUGAGCGCGCCUUCAACGGCCGCCACUGCUGCAUCGGUCGUGUUGUGCACGGCCUUGACGCCUUCAUAGCGCUCGUCGCCCCAUUCGGCAACGUCGAGGGGCAUCCGUCCAAGUACGCGGUGGUAGUGGACUGUGGCGAAGGAGAGGCGCCGACGCUGAUGUCGGCAUCGUCGUCGCCCGCUGCAGUAUCCCAGGCGUCGAUGGCGAUAUCAGAGACGGAGACGGCGCGGUCGUCUCCUGCAGCCGACACGCGGUCCGCGACCGUCGAAGAAGCGCCUGCAGAGCUGGACAUACAUUACCGUGAGCAGCCGCCGCAACUCCAGCUGCAGCAUCACCAAGCCGCGGAUGGCACCGGUGUGAUGGCGGCCCUGUCCCCGUCCGGAGCCGCUGCAGCCGCGGCGCCCCCCUCCAUCUCCCCUGCGCAGCCGCUGAAGAGCUCCUUAAAGGGAAAAACGACGGCGGCGUCGGAGGCAGCCAAGACGCAUGCGAAGCAUGUAACGUAUCAGCUGUGAGGCGAAGCAACCGCAGCAGCGACCGUGUCGGGUGGGCCCCGUGUCUCCCGUCCUUCGUGCAUGGCCCCUUCUCGCCUGUUUGUUUUCUCUUCCCCACUCACCCCGUCUCCUUCUCUCAUGCUCUGCAUGCAGCGAGGACAUGUACAGUUGCGCAGCGGUGGAACGCCCUUUGCCCUCCAGUGAGCGUGUGCUCGUCUGUGUGUCUGCGCCCAUGGAUGUGCGUGUUCGCCCCGCGUGAGGGUCGCGUUGGCGUGGAGUUGCCAGGGACAUCGAGUCGAUCGCCUUGCGUGAUCUGGCUUACUCUCACGGAUAGAGCGAGAGCGAGAGAGCACACGCAAGCCCCAGGCGGCAUCAUGGCGCACAGCCGUCGAUCAUGUAUCCACCCCAAAAGCAGGAGAGCCACCAAAGCCGCACACGCAACCUCUCAAAGGCAGCCGAGGCACACACGUGCCCUCCCUCCCGCUUUGUUGGGGGGUGUCCUCAAGUCAGUAGCGGCAGCAGCAGUGCCCCACCCACCCAUCCACCCACCAUCUUGCUUCCCCUCCCUCUCGAGUCGCGGCGGGUAGGGUGGGUGUGUGUAUGUGUACGCAUGUGCGCGUGUACGACGGCACGCGACGGCAUCGCCGCCCAUCCUCACUCCCCUCUCUCUCUCUCUCUGUGCGUCUGAAGUGUCUUUCUCUACCCGCAACCCCCAUCCCUCCCCCCCCCCACACACACACACACCGCCAUCACGAUCUUGCAG
RNAcentral lists this unclassified non-coding RNA (1969 nucleotides) under Leishmania donovani. Its description in RNAcentral is "gene:LdHU3.16.1520(CDS-product:cyclophilin_13_put ative)". Lineage: Eukaryota; Euglenozoa; Kinetoplastea; Trypanosomatida; Trypanosomatidae. The record is from RNAcentral.